GCAUCCUUAGCGCAAUUGGAUUAGCGCAGCACCCUACGAAGGUGUUGGUUGUAGGUUCGAAUCCUACAGGAUGUA
Molecule: transfer RNA, 75 nt
Filed under: Pantoea phage vB_PagS_AAS21
Lineage: Duplodnaviria; Heunggongvirae; Uroviricota; Caudoviricetes; Demerecviridae
Rfam family: tRNA
About the family: Transfer RNA (tRNA) molecules are approximately 80 nucleotides in length. Their secondary structure includes four short double-helical elements and three loops (D, anti-codon, and T loops). Further hydrogen bonds mediate the characteristic L-shaped molecular structure. tRNAs have two regions of fundamental functional importance: the anti-codon, which is responsible for specific mRNA codon recognition, and the 3' end, to which the tRNAs corresponding amino acid is attached (by aminoacyl-tRNA synthetases). tRNAs cope with the degeneracy of the genetic code in two manners: having more than one tRNA (with a specific anti-codon) for a particular amino acid; and 'wobble' base-pairing, i.e. permitting non-standard base-pairing at the 3rd anti-codon position.
Source: Rfam by way of RNAcentral